Molecule: long non-coding RNA, 667 nt
Filed under: Chelydra serpentina (North American snapping turtle)
Lineage: Eukaryota; Metazoa; Chordata; Testudines; Chelydridae
Description: lncRNA (ENSCSRG00000021141.1)
Source: RNAcentral
AGAUAUAGAAAUGGAUCUCCACUAAUCCUAGCAGAUUAAUCGGAUUUACGGAAGGCUGCAGUUCUCAUCUUUGCAAAUAAGCAGGAUGUGAAAGGUUGUAUGACAGCUGCUGAAAUAUCUAAAUACCUCACCCUUAGUUCCAUAAAGGAUCACCCAUGGCACAUUCAGUCCUGCUGUGCUUUGACUGGAGAAGGAUUAUGCCAAGGUUUGGAAUGGAUGACUUCCCAUAUUGGAGUGAGAUAACUUGUUGCAAAAGAGACUGCAUCUAUUUAUUCUGUGAACAUGAACAUUUUCCUGGUACUUCUGGUUGCUAAGGCAGCGACCAUGGUUAAUUUAUAAUGACAGAAACCUCUGAGCAGCACUUGAAUCAAGCGCAGCUGAACUGAAACACACAGUAUUUUUAACUUUUUUAAUGCACUACUCUUCCACAGGAUGAACAUGUGAAUCUGUUUCAGUAUCAAAGUUCUCCUGGCUAUUCUAAUUUUUCGGUGGUUGCCUUGUAAGAUAUCUUUCAUCAUGGAAAAUAUUUCACACUUGAUUUUUGUAAUGAUGCAAAUUGUUUCUGUAAUUUACUACAAUAGAUAAAUGUUUUCAUUAACACUGGAAAAAAAGUGAGUAGAUUGACGCUUACCCUAGCAUAGCUUUAAUGGUUUCAAAAGAUUGGGCU